GAUCCAGUGGCCCUGAGGGACCAACACAAUGUAAGGAGCUGGACCUUGUGCACUCUUGCUCCUCUCUUGCUGCCUCCUUAUCUAACUUCUGCUCAGUCACCUCUGCAUUCUACCUGUAGAAAAGUGACUCAACAUCAUUCCAGAAGUCCGGAAUUCUACAAGAAUCAUGACACAGCAAGAACACAGCCAUGUGCAAAUCAGGAAGAGGGCACUUGCUGGGAACUUAAUUGGUUGGCACCUUGAUCAUGGACUUCCCAAACUUCCAAA
This 267-nucleotide long non-coding RNA is filed under the name Homo sapiens (human). RNAcentral describes it as "HSALNT0373853". Lineage: Eukaryota; Metazoa; Chordata; Mammalia; Primates; Hominidae. The record is from RNAcentral.